UUGUUCAAACAUUAGCUUUUGUUUGGGAAGGGUUAAAUAUUUUAUUUUAUUUUAUUUUUUGGUUUUGAUGGUGAGCAUUUCUGCUCUCUCGUUGUCAAUAGAAUGCAUAUCCUGCUCAUCGCUGGUGGUUUUUAGAUGGUCCUUGGGCAGCUAGUUAAUCUGCCACAAGCAAGAGAGGUUUUCAAGUGUUUAUUGUGUUUUUGGUUGUCAAAUUCUAUCUACUGCCAACGGGAGUCUUUUGGGUUUGAACCAACUGCCUUGAGUUAU
Molecule: unclassified non-coding RNA, 267 nt
Filed under: Hevea brasiliensis (rubber tree)
Lineage: Eukaryota; Viridiplantae; Streptophyta; Magnoliopsida; Malpighiales; Euphorbiaceae
Source: RNAcentral